Molecule: ribosomal RNA, 398 nt
Filed under: uncultured bacterium
Lineage: Bacteria
Description: partial 16S ribosomal RNA
Rfam family: Bacterial small subunit ribosomal RNA
Source: RNAcentral
AUACGUAGGGGGCGAGCGUUGUCCGGAAUGAUUGGGCGUAAAGGGCGCGUAGGCGGCCCGGUAAGUCUGGAGUGAAAGUCCUGUUUUUAAGAUGGGAAUUGCUUUGGAUACUGUCGGGCUUGAGUGCAGGAGAGGUAAGUGGAAUUCCCAGUGUAGAGGUGAAAUGCGUAGAGAUUGGGAGGAACACCAGUGGCGAAGGCGACUUACUGGACUGUAACUGACGCUGAGGCGCGAAAGUGUGGGGAGCAAACAGGAUUAGAUACCCUGGUAGUCCACACUGUAAACGAUGAAUGCUAGGUGUAGGGGGUAUCGACCCCUUCUGUGCCGCAGUCAACACAAUAAGCAUUCCGCCUGGGGAGUACGGCCGCAAGGUUGAAACUCAAAUGAAUUGACGGGGG